GCCCUUUAUAAAAUCUGAAGAAAUAAACUCUAAAAUCAUGGGUAGUUAGGGUUUUGAGGCCUUACUACUACGCCGACUUGCUUUUCUGGGUAUGGAAGCAAAUUACAUGAGAGAAACAUGUUGAAAAACACGCCACACACUGACCUUUAACCAAAUCUAGGUUCCUGUAAGUUGUAGAUGACGGUUUUGGCAGCGGAUAUGAGAGAAUGGAGGAUGAGAGAGGACUUGGGAAGCCAUGCAAUUGGUUGUUACGAAAAAGAGCACUGUAGUAGCCGUUGCGUUUUUUUUGGAUUACUUAUGGAUGUUUUGGCACACUAACAUAUAGCAUUCUUUUAUGUAGAUUGUUUAGCUGAAGCUUAUUAUAACACACACGAGAUCACCAGUGAAAUUACAUGAACUCGAACUCUUGAAAGUUGGUACGAGUAAGUUGGCUUGAGUUGA
Helianthus annuus (common sunflower) is the source of this 441-nucleotide long non-coding RNA. RefSeq lists it as uncharacterized. The record is from RefSeq and is a predicted model, not a curated record. Lineage: Eukaryota; Viridiplantae; Streptophyta; Magnoliopsida; Asterales; Asteraceae. The transcript is spliced from 2 exons.